Molecule: long non-coding RNA, 4017 nt
Filed under: Glycine max (soybean)
Lineage: Eukaryota; Viridiplantae; Streptophyta; Magnoliopsida; Fabales; Fabaceae
Description: long non-coding RNA (GMAX_LNC004527)
Source: RNAcentral
GAGGUAUGUUAACUUCCAUUAUCUCUGUUUCUUGUUUUCUCUACUUCUUUUUGCAUGUUCUCCACAAGAUUGCAUGUAUUUUAGUGGAUUAUAUAUUUGUAUGUAUAAUGUCCUUCAAUCAUAAAUAACAAUGAGUAAUACCUACUAAAUGUUUUUGUGUAAGCAUAUGUUAUGAAAGGAAUAAAGCAGCAACAAUGGACUCAGCAAUGGAAUAAUAUUGAAACAGAAAUGCUAAAGGCAGAUACAAGGGAGACAAACACAAACCAGAGGUCAUAAGGAAAAUCAUCAAACCUCAACAUUUGAGGGAUUUCUAUAACUAAUUCGACAAGGAGUGCUGAGCUGGCAGAACUUAAUUGGCCAAAGGAGCAUAUGUUGUCUGCCAUUUAUACUUUUCUGUUAUUUGCCAACUUCUGUUAGUGUUGUUUGUUAGAAUUUGCUAGAAUGGGAUAACAACCUCUAGUAUUUGGCACUUAUAUAUAUGAAUGAAUCAUGUAAUAGAAUGGAAGUAGAAAAUAAUACAAGUCUUUCCUUCCCUCAUCUUUCUCUUAGGAGGUUCCUAGGCCUCGAACACUAUGGAAAUUCAUUGAGUUGAUCUCAGCUCAUAACAAUUUGGUGCUUUCAUUGAGCUUCAAUGGUUGCCUUCCAUGGCUGCUAUGCCAACCCAAACCACCUCUUCCCACGACAUCCGUUCCACAUAGCCACCCACCAGCACCUAUUUCUGCAGGACCUAUCCCCUUCAUUUCCGCACACCCCUUAUACUUUUGUACAUUCAGCUCAAUCCCUUGGGAUUGAUUUUGAGAGCACCCGCACACAUUUGCUAGGCUUGUUUGGUAUCGAGCGAACUCUUCCACCAUUAUCUCCCAUCUUACACCCGAAAAUGGAAAGGAAUUUCCACGUAGAUGUUGCGGACUCCAUUAUGGAUCGCAUUGUUGGAUCAAGUGACCUCGGAAUAAUUAAAUAGAGGGAGUUGAAUUAAUUAUCAAGUGUCCCUUGUUCUCUUUGAACAACCAAAUGGAUGCACGCUCCACUUGAACUGAUCCACAAGAGAUAUAUCAUCUCUUGUUCUCAGUAUUACAACCCAAGUAGAUGUAUGCUCUACUUGCACCACAAAGGAUGUACCUUCCAAUGUGGUAAGACAAAGAAUUUUUAGGCGGUUAGUCCCUUGAAUCUUUGUAAGGGGAAACAAAAGAUAUCUCAGGCGGUUAGUCCUUUGAAAUCUUUUGUUUAAAGGGAAAAGGAAGAAUCAAAAGAAUUCUCAGGUAGUUAGUCCUUUAAAUCUUUUGGCAAGAGGGAGAAGGAAGAAAAGAUAGCACACUUUUGUUUUUUGCAGAAUUUCCACUUGCAGAAAAAACAAAGUUUUGAAACAAAGUUUAGAAAACUUUUUGGCAAAGAAAAAGCAAUGGGCAAUGGUUAGAGAAAGAUUGUGAAAAAGGAUUGUUUGGAAGAAUAUCAUAUAUCUUGAACGUGUGUCAAAGUCAUGCUUUUAUAGACUCUUCAUGUCUAGUCAAAGAAAUCAUUGGAAGAGUUAUGACUUUUGAGAAAAUCAUGUUAAGAGUUAUAACUCUUAACUUUUUCUUUAAAACUAUUCACUGGUAAUCGAUUACCACAAAGGUGUAAUCAAUUACACAAUGUAUUUUAUGAAAAGUUGUGACUCUUCACAAUUGGAUUUGAAUUCCAACGUUCAAAUUCACUUGUAAUCGAUUACUAAUAUAGUGUAAUCAAUUACACUAUUUGAAAAUCAUUUUGGAACGUUGCAAACCAUUUGAAAAUAUUUUGAAAACCAAACUGGUCACUGGUAAUCGAUUACUGCCAACUGGUAAUUGAUUAUCAGAGAGUAAUUACUCUGGUAACUUUAGAAAAUUUGAGAAAAUUCUUUUGUAAAACAAAACUGUGCUAUUUGGUUUUUGAAAAAUCUUUUAAUACUUAUCCUAUAUGAAGUCUUGACUUGUUGCUUCUUGAUUUCUUCUCUUGAAUCUUGAAUCUUGGAUUGGAUUUUUGAUGCUUGAUCUUGAAGUCUUGAAUCAAUCACUUGGGCUUUUGGCAUCAUCAAAAUUGCUUGGUUCAUCAUCAUGAAGCUUGCUUCUACACGCAUCGAAGCAACCAUCGCAAAACUCACCCCCAAUCAACUCAAACUUGCCACUGCCGUCGACACCAUGGCCUCCACAAUUGACGACCUUCUUCAGCGACUGAGCCUUCGCCAUCCCACUCCUCACUUUCCAUCUUCCUCCCCUCUGUAGUCACCGCCACCAACUGCCCCCAUACCGAUCAUGCCUCCCAUGCCAACUCCAAUUCCACGGCCCAAACUCAUGCAGCAACAUCCCGCAUCCUUGCCGGCUCCGCUUACCAGCAGAGGAGACACUACGGGGAAGCUUGUAGCACCACUUCACCCUACCUUGCCUUUUGAGAGCGGCAACAACAUCCAUCGUGGUACCUGUCUUCCAUUUAACAUGCUCAGUGUAGGUAACAAAGUACCGCAGACCAUCCCUGAGAAAGUUCUUAAAGACUCUACGAGCCAAACAACGAAUCCCGAGUUUCGUAAUGUUCUGCAUGUUGUCGCACAACACCACCUUGUGCCCCUUGGCUCCUCCCCUGCAUCCCUCCCAUGACCACCGUAUCGGCCGCUGUCACCUCCACCACCACCACCGAAGCCAUCGCCUCCACCACCACCACGGUCAAUGCGGGUUUGCACUUCAUGGGUAGUGAUGUUUGGCCAUCAAGGUCUUCGCCGUGCAAACUGCUGUUCACAACUCUCGCUCCCUCUUGUGGCUUCUUCUUUAGACCAUGCAACAACAAUAUCUCUUCAAUUUGGUGAGUUCCCUUCGUGGCUUGCACCCAUUGGAGCAGUAGUUAGAGCUGCUGGUGUUUCUACGAGCCACAACCAAACAGAGAAAAGGCAUAGGGAUAGGAUUAAUGCUCUGCGGCGCAGGUCACCACCCAGCCCACUCACCUUCACGAUGUUGGUAACCCUCGAGGAUUAUCAUUCUCAUGGCCCUAACCAGCCCAGCAACUUCACUCAUGUACUUUUCUUCUUUCUAUACUCACCCCCUUGUUUCAGCUUUUUUUUUAUUGCCCACUUUUCUUUUUCUACACCUCCAUCUUUCCCAUAACAAGCCCAAAUCACCAUGGCCCAAAUUUCACUCACGUGUUAUUUUUCUUUUUUUCUAAACCCACCUCGUGUUUUAGCUAUUUUGUUUUUGAACUGUGCCAUCAAGUUGUUUCGAGGUCUGGAUUUGAGGUCCCAACACCUUGAGGACAAGGUGUUUGUGAUGAGCCAGGGAAUGUUAUGAAAGGAAUAAAGCAACAACAAUGGACUCAGCAAUGGAAUAAUGCUGAAACAGAAAUGCUAAAGGCAGAUACAAGGGAGACAAACACAAACCAGAGGUCAUAAGGAAAAUCAUCAAACCUCAACAUUUGAGGGAUUUCUAUAACUAAUUCGACAAGGAGUGCUGAGCUGGCAGAACUUAAUUGGCCAAAGGAGCAUAUGUUGUUUGCCAUUUAUGCUUUUCUGUUAUUUGCCAAAUUUUGUUAGUGUUGUUUGUUAGAAUUUGCUAGAAUGGGAUAACAACCUUUAGUAUUUGGCACUUAUAUAUAUGAAUGAAUCAUGUAAUAGAAUGGAAGCAGAAAAUAAUACAAGUCUUUCCUGUUAGACAAGUGGUCUCAGAUAUCUUAAGAAGGGGGUUGAAUUAAGAUAUCAAAGACUAUUCCCCAAUUAAAAUUUUAACUCUCUUUCUGAAUUAUUAAUGCACCCUAAAUAUGAAUUACUAAAACCACAAUUCAAAAUAAAACUUCUUUAACGCAAAAGAUAAAUGACAAUAAAUAAAAGAAGUUUAAGGGAAGAGAGAAUGCAAACUCAGUUUUAUACUGGUUCGGUCACACUCUUGUGCCUACGUGUAAUCCCCAAACAACCCGCUUGAGAGUUUCACUAUCUUGUAAAAUCCCUUUUACAAUGUCUGAACCACAUAAGGACAACCCUUCCUUUGUGUUCAGAUAACCUUACAACAAGAGUCCCUCGGUCCC